GACUUGGUAGCUUAGUUGGUAAAGGAAGCACUUUUGGUCUCAUGUCUUAGAUUGCAGCUAGGUUUGCUGGUUAAAAUCCUGUCCAAGUUG
Puccinia sorghi is the source of this 90-nucleotide transfer RNA. It matches the Rfam family "tRNA". From Rfam's summary of the family: Transfer RNA (tRNA) molecules are approximately 80 nucleotides in length. Their secondary structure includes four short double-helical elements and three loops (D, anti-codon, and T loops). The record is from Rfam. Lineage: Eukaryota; Fungi; Basidiomycota; Pucciniomycetes; Pucciniales; Pucciniaceae.